Molecule: long non-coding RNA, 511 nt
Filed under: Rattus norvegicus (Norway rat)
Lineage: Eukaryota; Metazoa; Chordata; Mammalia; Rodentia; Muridae
Description: long non-coding RNA NONRATT009659
Source: RNAcentral
UAGUUUUAGUGGAUGUAUGUAUAUGUAUGUAUGUAUACACACACACAUAUACAUAUAUAUAUACAUAUAUAUAUCAUAUAUAUAUAGGCCACAUGUGUGGCCAUUCCUUCAGUCUCUGCUCCAAAUUUUGCCUCCAUAUCUCCUCCUAAGAACGUUUUUGUCCCCCCCCCUUUUUUUUAUCUUUAUUAACUUGAGUAUUUCUUAUUUACAUUUCGAGUGUUAUUCCCCUUCCUGGUUUCCGGGCCAACAUCCCCCUAGCCUCUCCCCCUCCCCUUCUUUAUGGGGUUCCCCUCCCCAUCCUUCCCCCAUUACCACCCUCCCCCCCAACAAUCACGUUCACUGGGGGUUCAGUCUUAGCAGGACCAAGGGCUUCCCCUUCCACUGGUGCUCUUACCAGGAUAUUCAUUGCUACCUAUGAGGUUAGUGUCCAGGGUCAGUCCAUGUAUAAUCUUUGGGUAGUGGCUUAGUCCCUGGAAGCUCUGGUUGCUUGGCAUUGUUGUUCAUAUGGGGU